UUAACUUGUUUCUUAAAAAAAAAAAUCUCAUAGUCUAAAUAAUCAAAACCAAUUAUCUCCCAAGUUGUUUGAAACCCAAAGUUUUUUUUUUUUUUUUUUUAAAUAUAAUUAAUUUAAUUUAAGGAUAAUACAAUUCUAGAUGCACAAGUAAGCCAAAUCCUGAACCUUAGCAAACAGGCUGCGAAGACAUAUCCAGCAUCACAAAGAGAUUAAACCAACUUUCAAUUUUAUCUCUUCAAUUAAUAUACCCCAAAAAGGGGUUAAUUACAGCUUCAUCUUCUUAGCAUUAUUCUGAAUAAUCAAAGGUUUGGUGGAGCUGUAAAUGAAAUCAAUCGACUUAAACCUCCUUUUCCUCGGCUGGAGAUGCUCAUCCAAUGGAUAUUCAUCCAAUGGAUCUUUCUUCAAACUUUCCCUCGGCUCACUUUCUUCUUUCUUUUUUUCAGAUACCCUUUUGUUAGUACUGUAUUGUUGACAGAGCUGCAUCAGCUGACGAGCCAUUUCCAUCUCCAUCUCUGAGAAACUCGAGGGUUUUUUGCGUUUCCAUGCAGAUGAGGGUUUUGCCAUUAUUGGGUUUGACAGAUAAAAACAGAGAAAUUAGAAAA
Molecule: long non-coding RNA, 602 nt
Filed under: Durio zibethinus
Lineage: Eukaryota; Viridiplantae; Streptophyta; Magnoliopsida; Malvales; Malvaceae
Description: long non-coding RNA (DZIB_LNC000636)
Source: RNAcentral